GCCCUUGUCGGUUAGUGGCAAACCAGCGGUUUUGUAAUCCGCGACCGGGUGUUCGAUUCACCCUAGGGGCACCA
RNAcentral lists this transfer RNA (74 nucleotides) under compost metagenome. RNAcentral describes it as "tRNA-Thr". It matches the Rfam family "tRNA". Rfam says of the family: Transfer RNA (tRNA) molecules are approximately 80 nucleotides in length. Their secondary structure includes four short double-helical elements and three loops (D, anti-codon, and T loops). The record is from RNAcentral.